GAUGAACGCUGGCUACAGGCUUAACACAUGCAAGUCGUGGGGAAACGGCAUUAUGUGCUUGCACAUUCUGGACGUCGACCGGCGCACGGGUGAGUAUCGCGUAUCCAACCUGCCCCUUACUUGGGGAUACCCCGUUGAAAGACGGCCUAAUACCCGAUGUGUUUCAUUGACGGCAUCCGAUAUGAAACAAAGGUUUUUCCGGUAAGGGAUGGGGAUGCGUCUGAUUAGCUAGUUGGCGGGGCAACGGCCCACCAAGGCGACGAUCAGUAGGGGUUCUGAGAGGAAGGUCCCCCACAUUGGAACUGAGACACGGUCCAAACUCCUACGGGAGGCAGCAGUGAGGAAUAUUGGUCAAUGGACGCAAGUCUGAACCAGCCAAGUAGCGUGCAGGAUGACGGCCCUAUGGGUUGUAAACUGCUUUUAUGUGGGAAUAAAUUGGCGCACGUGUGCGCCAUUUGCAUGUACCUCAUGAAUAAGGACCGG
This 483-nucleotide ribosomal RNA is filed under the name Prevotella nigrescens. RNAcentral's name for it is "bacterial SSU rRNA". It matches the Rfam family "Bacterial small subunit ribosomal RNA", at positions 28 to 496 of the family's 1533-position model. The record is from RNAcentral. Lineage: Bacteria; Pseudomonadati; Bacteroidota; Bacteroidia; Bacteroidales; Prevotellaceae.